This 395-nucleotide ribosomal RNA is filed under the name Pseudoalteromonas sp. Its description in RNAcentral is "bacterial SSU rRNA". It matches the Rfam family "Bacterial small subunit ribosomal RNA", at positions 612 to 1007 of the family's 1533-position model. Lineage: Bacteria; Pseudomonadati; Pseudomonadota; Gammaproteobacteria; Alteromonadales; Pseudoalteromonadaceae. The record is from RNAcentral.
ACCUGGGAACUGCAUUUCGAACUGGCAAACUAGAGUGUGAUAGAGGGUGGUAGAAUUUCAGGUGUAGCGGUGAAAUGCGUAGAGAUCUGAAGGAAUACCGAUGGCGAAGGCAGCCACCUGGGUCAACACUGACGCUCAUGUACGAAAGCGUGGGGAGCAAACGGGAUUAGAUACCCCGGUAGUCCACGCCGUAAACGAUGUCUACUAGAAGCUCGGAACCUCGGUUCUGUUUUUCAAAGCUAACGCAUUAAGUAGACCGCCUGGGGAGUACGGCCGCAAGGUUAAAACUCAAAUGAAUUGACGGGGGCCCGCACAAGCGGUGGAGCAUGUGGUUUAAUUCGAUGCAACGCGAAGAACCUUACCUACACUUGACAUACAGAGAACUUUCUAGAGAU